RNAcentral lists this transfer RNA (68 nucleotides) under unidentified. Its description in RNAcentral is "Epeorus sp. 01 ZXM-2022a tRNA-Trp". The record is from RNAcentral.
AAAGCUUUAUGUUAAACAAACAAACAGCCUUCAAAGUUGUCAAUAAAAGUCUAGUCUUUUAAGCUUUA